UACGUAGGGGGCAAGCGUUAUCCGGAUUUACUGGGUGUAAAGGGAGCGUAGACGGUUAUGUAAGUCUGAAGUGAAAGCCCGGGGCCCAACCCCGGGACUGCUUUGGAAACUGUGUAACUAGAGUACAGGAGGGGCAGGCGGAAUUCCUGGUGUAGCGGUGAAAUGCGUAGAUAUCAGGAGGAGCACCGGCGGCGAAGGCGGCCUGCUGGACUGAAACUGACGUUGAGGCUCGAAAGCGUGGGGAGCAAACAGG
Molecule: ribosomal RNA, 253 nt
Filed under: uncultured bacterium
Lineage: Bacteria
Description: partial 16S ribosomal RNA
Rfam family: Bacterial small subunit ribosomal RNA
Source: RNAcentral